Molecule: ribosomal RNA, 525 nt
Filed under: Boophis pyrrhus
Lineage: Eukaryota; Metazoa; Chordata; Amphibia; Anura; Mantellidae
Description: partial 12S ribosomal RNA
Rfam family: Bacterial small subunit ribosomal RNA (bases 1-452)
Source: RNAcentral
GCUUAAAAUCCAAAAGACUUGACGGUGCCCCAUCCCCCUAGAGGAGCCUGUUCUAUAAUCGAUAAUCCACGUUUUACCUUACCACUUCUUGCUUCCAUUCAGCCUGUAUACCUCCGUCGCAAGCUUGCCAUAUGAAUGACACAUAGCAGGCUCAAUGACCUAUUUUCGCCAAUACGUCAGGUCAAGGUGCAGCUUAUGAAGUGGAAAGCAAUGGGCUACAAUUUCUAAUUUAGAACAAACGAACAACCAUCUGAAACUAUGGUCACGAAGGUGGAUUUAGUAGUAAAGAGAGAAAAUAAUGCUCUCUUUAAUAGCGGCCAUGGGACGUGUACAAACCGCCCGUCACCCUCUUCGACAGCGUAACCAAAGUCAAUAACACAUAACUGCUAUUUAGAGGAGGCAAGUCGUAACACGGUAAGCGUACUGGAAAGUGCGCUUGGAUAGGCAAAAUGUAGCUUAGAAAAGCACUCCGCUUACAUCGGAAAGACGUCUGUUAGACCCGGAUCAUUUUGAGCUAUUAAUCUA